Molecule: transfer RNA, 77 nt
Filed under: Terriglobus saanensis SP1PR4
Lineage: Bacteria; Pseudomonadati; Acidobacteriota; Terriglobia; Terriglobales; Acidobacteriaceae
Description: tRNA-Arg (CCG) (tRNA-Arg-CCG-1-1)
Rfam family: tRNA
About the family: Transfer RNA (tRNA) molecules are approximately 80 nucleotides in length.
Source: RNAcentral
GCACCCGUAGCUCAGCUGGAUAGAGCGGCAGCCUCCGAAGCUGUAGGUCAGAGGUUCGAAUCCUCUCGGGUGCACCA